Molecule: long non-coding RNA, 416 nt
Organism: Pristis pectinata (smalltooth sawfish)
Lineage: Eukaryota; Metazoa; Chordata; Chondrichthyes; Rhinopristiformes; Pristidae
Exons: 3
Source: RefSeq, a predicted model, not a curated record
CCACAAUGUGACCAGACGGAAGAUGAUGUGCUUCGCCUCAAGCAGUCACCAACUCUUCGACCUAGGGCUCAGCACCCCCCUCUGCAACUGGAUCCAUGACUUCCUGACCAGCAGAUCACAAUCGAGACAAUAGAUUGUUUCCUGCAGAAGACAAUCUGGGUGACCCAGGAGAACACAGAGAAUACUCCUCCCUUCAGUGACAUUACUGCACAGUUCAUCUACAUGGAUGAAAAAUAUCUCAACUACAACAACUACGUCCAUAGCUGCUUGAAUGUAACAAAGUCUCCAAAACCUUUGGCUGGAGCAUUAUCAAGAGAAAACAUUGAUGCUGAGCCCCAUGUGGCUCCACCAGGUGAAGGAAGAGAAGCUAUCUUCUUGAGUGACGUAUGGCACCCUGGUUAGUGCUGCUGCAUCAC